Molecule: ribosomal RNA, 464 nt
Filed under: uncultured bacterium
Lineage: Bacteria
Description: partial 16S ribosomal RNA
Rfam family: Bacterial small subunit ribosomal RNA
Source: RNAcentral
GACGAACGCUGGCGGCGUGCUUAACACAUGCAAGUCGAACGGUAAGGCCCUUUCGGGGGUACACGAGUGGCGAACGGGUGAGUAACACGUGGGUGAUCUGCCCUUCACUUUGGGAUAAGCCUGGGAAACUGGGUCUAAUACCGGAUAGGACUACGCGAUGCAUGUCGUGUGGUGGAAAGCUUUUGCGGUGUGGGAUGGGCCCGCGGCCUAUCCGCUUGUUGGUGGGGUGAUGGCCUACCAAGGCGACGACGGGUAGCCGGCCUGAGAGGGUGUCCGGCCACACUGGGACUGAGAUACGGCCCAGACUCCUACGGGAGGCAGCAGUGGGGAAUAUUGCACAAUGGGCGCAAGCCUGAUGCAGCGACGCCGCGUGGGGGAUGACGGCCUGCGGGUUGUAAACCCCUUUCAGCACAGACGAAGCGUAAGUGACGGUAUGUGCAGAAGAAGCACCGGCCAACUACGUG